This is a long non-coding RNA of Branchiostoma floridae (Florida lancelet), 584 nucleotides long. RefSeq lists it as uncharacterized. The transcript has 4 exons. The record is from RefSeq and is a predicted model, not a curated record. Lineage: Eukaryota; Metazoa; Chordata; Leptocardii; Amphioxiformes; Branchiostomatidae.
CCCCUGGCGGGGUAAUGUAUGUCUGCAGGAACAUUUUUCCCCCAGACUCAUGACCUUACCCGUCAUCCUUUGCGAAUCUCAUUGCCGACCGCCAUCUUGCAGCAAGGACAGAGACACCGAAGGUAAUCAUGCCGGUCCGACCGCAGGCAGAAUGGAACCUGAUCAUGCUCCUCACCAACUUCGGUAAAAACUGGUACCAGACCACCCGGCCAUACCUCUGGGAGUACAGAGAUGUAGCCCCAGGACUGGUCAUCACUGGCUACCUGUGGUAUAAGAUCACUGCAGCUGGGUACAGGUCCAGGAGACAGAAGAGACUUGAGGCUGGUGCAAGUGGUGGACAUUAAGAGUGAUCUCAUCCCAGCAACAACACAAGCUAUCUCCCAACCUCCUGAGGAUUGCUGCUGCCAACAAGCUGAUCCUGUUGAUGACAUCAUGGAUGAAUCCAACUUGUGUUUAGCUUAACCAUAACUUUCACUAAACAACAAAGUGAUAUGUAGUCUGUUGAGAGAAAGGAUGUGCAUUGUUUGAAAGAUGUACACUGUGUAUUAAACUUUAAAGUGAAUAAAACAAGUCUGAGAAGUCUG